Molecule: non-coding RNA, 93 nt
Organism: Mycena galopus ATCC 62051
Lineage: Eukaryota; Fungi; Basidiomycota; Agaricomycetes; Agaricales; Mycenaceae
Source: the annotation of a GenBank genome assembly
GUGCCCUUAGUGUAGUGUUAACAUACAUCCCGUUUGUUAAAUGGUAAUAAGGAACAUACGGAUGAGUUUGGGGUUCAAUUCCUCAAAGGCGCA